GAUGAACGCUGGCGGCGUGCUUAACACAUGCAAGUCGAACGAAGCACUUUAUUUGAUUUCCUUCGGGACUGAUUAUUUUGUGACUGAGUGGCGGACGGGUGAGUAACGCGUGGGUAACCUGCCUUGUACAGGGGGAUAACAGUUGGAAACGGCUGCUAAUACCGCAUAAGCGCACGGCAUCGCAUGAUGCAGUGUGAAAAACUCCGGUGGUAUAAGAUGGACCCGCGUUGGAUUAGCUAGUUGGUGAGGUAACGGCCCACCAAGGCGACGAUCCAUAGCCGACCUGAGGGGGGGACCGGCCACAUUGGGACUGAGACACGGCCCAAACUCCUACGGGAGGCAGCAGUGGGGAAUAUUGCACAAUGGGCGAAAGACUGAUGCAGCGACGCCGCGUGAGCGAAGAAGUAUUUCGGUAUGUAAAGCUCUAUCAGCAGGGAAGAUAAUGACGGUACCUGACUAAGAAGCACCGGCUAAAUACGUG
RNAcentral lists this ribosomal RNA (481 nucleotides) under uncultured bacterium. RNAcentral describes it as "partial 16S ribosomal RNA". It matches the Rfam family "Bacterial small subunit ribosomal RNA", at positions 28 to 507 of the family's 1533-position model. The record is from RNAcentral.